CUUUCUGGUACUGGCGUUCGACACUGUGUGUUUGUUAGCGGUGUGGCUAAUUCAGCCACGGCUCGCUUAGGGUUGAUUUUGUGCGUCUAUUGGAAAGCCGUAUGAGAUGUUAACUGGUUAAUGUUUGCGACUGGUGUUUGGUCGGACUGCCUACUUGGCAUCCCGUUGCUGUCAGCCCCUUGCAUCUACACCGCUUCGCAUAGUACUGGCUCUGCUUUGGUGUGGCGGUUGGCUGCAUUAUCUAGUUUCUGUUAGCGUCAACUUCUGCUUCUAUACUGUUCAGUGCUCACGCCGGCCCUGUCAAUUUAACGUGGCUGACUGCUGCAGUGUCCGUAAUAUGUUGGAGGGUUCCUGCUGCAGUGCACGUGGUUUAGUCUGAACAUCAGUCCCCAGAAAUACGCUGCUGUCUUGUUCAGUUUGUCUAGUUUUGUUUUGUAUCAGUUUAAUUUUGCUUUGGUGCAUUAGUUGCUUUUCUUUUAUUUGCCUUUUCGUUGGAUGGUUCAU
Molecule: long non-coding RNA, 504 nt
Organism: Sinocyclocheilus anshuiensis
Lineage: Eukaryota; Metazoa; Chordata; Actinopteri; Cypriniformes; Cyprinidae
Exons: 3
Source: RefSeq, a predicted model, not a curated record